This 20-nucleotide small nuclear RNA is filed under the name Arabidopsis thaliana (thale cress). RNAcentral's name for it is "snRNA_05450". The record is from RNAcentral. Lineage: Eukaryota; Viridiplantae; Streptophyta; Magnoliopsida; Brassicales; Brassicaceae.
UUGUGAUAUCGAGCAAGGUC